Molecule: non-coding RNA, 135 nt
Organism: Triticum aestivum (bread wheat)
Lineage: Eukaryota; Viridiplantae; Streptophyta; Magnoliopsida; Poales; Poaceae
Source: Rfam
GACCUACUCCCUCCGUUCCGAAUUACUUGUCUUGGAUUUAUCUAGAUACAUCCGUACCUAGAUUCAUUUUAGUGCUAGAUACAUCCGUAUCUAGACAAAUCUAAGACAAGUAAUUCAGAACGGAGGGAGUACAAU